This 428-nucleotide RNase P RNA is filed under the name Saprospiraceae bacterium. RNAcentral's name for it is "RNase P RNA component class A". It matches the Rfam family "Bacterial RNase P class A". From Rfam's summary of the family: Ribonuclease P (RNase P) is a ubiquitous endoribonuclease, found in archaea, bacteria and eukarya as well as chloroplasts and mitochondria. Its best characterised activity is the generation of mature 5'-ends of tRNAs by cleaving the 5'-leader elements of precursor-tRNAs. The record is from RNAcentral. Lineage: Bacteria; Pseudomonadati; Bacteroidota; Saprospiria; Saprospirales; Saprospiraceae.
CUUGCAGGCCGAUCUAUCGUCCCGACAGCAAUGGCGGGGAGGAAAGUCCGGACAACGCAGGGCAACACACCACGUAACGCGUGGGUCUCAAAGCGAUUUGAGAACAGAUAGGGUCACAGAAAAUAACCGGCCUGGGGUAAAACCCGUGCUAAGGGUGAAAAUGUGUGGUAAGAGCACACGGUCUCGUCAGGUAACUAAUGAGGCGGAUAAACCUUGUGUGUUGAAAUGUCAUGUAUACCAUGGUUGGUGGCGAUACCGGGCAACCGGGGUCGCUGCGAGUUGGGCGGCCCGUUCAACUGUGUCUGACACAUCCAUGGAGGGUAGGCAGCUAGAAUCCCGAUCGUGAGGCCGGGAUCCAGAUAAAUGAUAGAUCAGGGGCGAGGUAAACUCGCCUUGGACAGAAUCCGGCUUACAGGCCUGCAAUUUUU